This 5235-nucleotide long non-coding RNA is filed under the name Brassica rapa (field mustard). RNAcentral's name for it is "long non-coding RNA (BRAP_LNC006910)". Lineage: Eukaryota; Viridiplantae; Streptophyta; Magnoliopsida; Brassicales; Brassicaceae. The record is from RNAcentral.
UUUUUACUGUGAAAGUUUACAAUGUCGACAUCGAAAUUUGCUAUAUUUUGUAUUGUUCUCAUUUGUCUUGCUAGUCUUCAUGAAUGUAUGUCAUAUAUAGCAUAUGUUCCAUCCAAUCCUCUAGCAUCAUUACCAUUAAAUUAAUAUUAAUAUACUCCAUCAUCUUUUAAUUUUGUUUUAUUCUUUAAACUUUCUGCAGGUGCCAACCCCGAAAAAAAGCCCAAAGGAACAUGCUCUAAAACACCAAAGAAUGUUUGGUGUUGCAGUUCCACUACACACUGCCGAAGCACCAAAGCGGAUUGUGAGAAGAUGUGUAUCUGGUAGUAUCUGGGGCCGUUGAAUUUUACCAAAGAGAAUUUCAAUAAUUAUAUAUUCCCAUUAUUUUCAUAAUUCUAUUAUUCAAAAUUUAAAGAAUAAAUAGAAAUUCCUAUUCCACAGGAGCAGCUAGUAUUAUGUACUAAAUGUUUUGGAAUUUCUUUGUAAGAUCAAUAUAUAUAGUUGUAACUUUCUUCAAUUUUAUUUAAGAAGUUUAUAAAUUUUAUAGAAAAUGAGAAUAAAACCACUGUACCUGUUUAACUGAAAUUUAAAUGUUGUAAGUACUUUGUAAAUUAAAUAAAAUAAAAAUACAUCACUUCAAAAUAUAUUAUAAAUUAUAUAAAUUAAUUAAUUAACACAAAAAUUAACAAUUUUCACCAUUCUCGGACUUGGCCGAUUCAAAAUAUAACACAAUUGUUUAAGAUAAUAAGAUAAUGUACUGUAAUCCAUAAGGGUGUAGGUCUUCUCAAACACUAAAAUUUUAUAAUAAAAAUUAAUAUAUAAUUUUUUUAUAAAUAUAACCAAAACAUUGUUUUGUUUCCACCAUGAACUUAAUCGCUAAUUAUGCUUAACCAUUCACAACAUUUUGAUAUGGUUUUAUCACUUUACUUGUAAAACACAUUUGCAUUAUAUAAUCCAUAUCUUAUAUACAUCAAAUUAUUUAACAAGAAAAAGUUGAAAGCCAAAGGUAAGAUUAAUUAAUAUAUAAGCCAAGAAAAAAUGAUUUUUUAUUUGACAUAAAUAAUUUAUUUAAUAUAUGAAAGACAAAACUGAUUUUUAUUCUAAACAAAUAAUAUAUCAUAUUUACACCAUUACUAAUAACAUAAUUUUCAGUUAUUUAUACAAUAACUGAAAACACAUAAUUUUUAGUUCAUGUAAUAUGCAUCUUACAUGAAACAAUAUAUUGUUGUUAUGAACAAGGUUAUUAAUGAGAAAGGUUUUUCAUUGAAUUUAACCAUGAGGCUUCAAUAAUGCUUACGAUAUUACUGACAUUGUGAUCAUGUUUUAUCUUGGAAAAUGGUGGUUUAUAGCACUAUUAUUAUUAUUAAAUUAUUCUCACGUAAAAUAUGUCAUUUUGAAAACUAAUAAAUAAUAUAAUGGCUACAUAGGCGUUAGUUCAUAUUAGAAACAUAACUUUAAUUAUUAUUUUUUUCUCUUAUGAUAGUCCUUACAAUAUUUUAAUUAUCAUAUAUAAUUCUUACGUAUAUCUAUGUUUGGAAAAUAAUAAUAAAAAUAUUUUUCUUUAUUUAUUUCACCAUAAAAAUACUUUUUGGUAAAUUAGAACUUUUAAGUAAAUUAGUACCUACAAUAACUUUUAACUUCAAUCAGUAUAUGCCCGACUUUCAUAAUAUAUAUAGAUAAAUCCAUUAAGAAUCGAAGACUCUAUUUUUCCAUCUAAAAUAAAUUAGUAAAAAAAAAAUAUAGUAGCUACUCUUUGCUAAUUUAAUUUGGCCGCAUCUUUAAGCUUUUAAAGUUACCCAUAUAUAUUUACAUAUGGCUGUACUUUUAGGUGGUGAUAUAUCCUAUCAAAAAAAUAAAAUGAAAAUUUUGGAACUUUUUAACAUAAAUAUAUUAAAAUAUAAGGAGAAUAAAAGUAACCAAUAAUUAUAUUUUCAGAUUCUUCGGAUUAUCAUACGAAACAUUUUCAGGGACAUAUAUACAUCUUCACAUAUAAGGAUAUCGAUAAGAAAUUAGUAAAUGCUAAAAUUGGUAGCUAAUCUAUCGCUAGUUUAUUUUAUCCACAUAUUUAAUCGUUCAACGUUACAUAUAUAUAUAUAUGGUUGUCGUUAAUAGGUAUUUUUAAGUGCUGACUUAUUGUAUCAAAAACGAAAAUGAAUAUUUUAAAUAAAAUUUAACAAAAAUAUUUUAGGAUAUAAAGAAAAUAAAACUAACCAAUCAAUUGAAAACAGUUUUUCUGGAUAAUUCUAAAAAUAGUCCUCAAAGACCUAUAUAUAUGUAUAUGUUCAUACGUAAGGUUUCCUAAAAUACACACAAAAAGCAAUUUUUUACUGUGAAAGUUUACAAUGUCGGCAUCGAAAUUUGCUAUAUUUUGUAUUGUUCUCAUUUGUCUUGCUAGUCUUCAUGAAUGUAUGUCAUAUAUAGCAUAUGUUCCAUCCAAUCCUCUAGCAUCAUUACCAUUAAAUUAAUAUUAAUAUACUCCAUCAUCUUUUAAUUUUGUUUUAUUCUUUAAACUUUCUGCAGGUGUCAACCCGGAAAGAAAGCCCAAAGGAACAUGCUCUAAAACACCAAAUAAUGUUUGGUGUUGCAGUUCCACUACACACUGCCGAAGCACCAAAGCAGAUUGUGAGAAGAUGUGUAUCUGGUAGUAUAUGGGGCCGUUGAGUUUUACCAAAGAGAAUUUCAAUAAUUAUAUAUUUCAAUUAUUUUCAUAAUUCUAUUAUUCAAAAUUUAAAGAAUAAAUAGAAAUUCCUAUUCCACAGGAGCAGCUAGUAUUAUGUACUAAAUGUUUUGGAAUUUCUUUGAAAGAUCAAUAUAUAUAGUUGUAACUUUCUUCAAUUUUAUUUAAGAAGUUUAUAAAUUUUAUAGAAAAUGAGAAUAAAACCACUGUACCUGUUUAACUGAAAUUUAAAUGUUGUAAGUACUUUGUAAAUUAAAUUAAAUAAAAAUACAUCACUUCAAAAUAUAUUAUAAAUUAUAUAAAUUAAUUAAUUAACACAUAAAUUAACAAUUUUCACCAUUCUCGGAUUUGACCGAUUCAAAAUAUAACACAAUUGUUUAAGAUAAUAAGAUAACGUUCUGUAAUCCAUAAGGGUGUGGGUCUUCUCAAACACUAAAAUUUUAUAAUAAAAGUUAAUAUAUAAAUUUUUUAUAAAUAUAACCAAAACAUUGUUUUGUUUCCACCAUGAACUUAAUCGCUAAUUAUUCUUAACCAUUCACAACAUUUUGAUAUGGUUUUAUCACUUUACUUGUAAAACACAUAUGCACUAUAUAAUCCAUAACUUAUAUACAUCAAAUUAUUUAACAAAAAAAAGUUGAAACCCAAAGUUAAGAUUAAUUAAUACAUAAGCCAAGAAAAAUUAUUUUUUAUUUGACAUAAAUAAUUUAUUUAAUAUUUGAAUGACAAAACUGAUUUUUUUCUAAACAAAUAAUAUAUCAUAUUUACACCAUUACUAAUUACAUAAUUUUUUAUUUUACAAUAACUGAAAACACAUAACUUGGUGUUUAUGUAUCUUAGAUGAAACAAUAUAUUAUUGUUAUGAACAAAGUUAUUAAUGAGAAAGGUUUUUCAUUGAAUUUAACCAUGAGGCUUCAAUAAUGCUUACGAUAUUACUGACAUUGCGAUCAUGUUUUAUCUUGGAAAACGGUGGUUUAUAGCACUAUUAUUAUUAUUAAAUUAUUCUCACGUAAAAUAUGUCAUUUUGAAAACAAUAAAUAAUAUAAUGGCUACCUAGGCGUUAGUUCAUAUUAGAUACAUAAUUUUUUUUUCUCUUAUGAUAGUCCUUACAAUAUUUUGAUUAUCAUAUAUAUUUCCUACGUAUAUCUAUGUUUGGAAAAUAAUAAUAAAAAUAUUUUUCUUUAUUUAUUUCACCAUAAAAAUACUUUUUGGUAAAUUAGAACUGUUAAGUAAAUUAGUACCUACAAUAACAUUUCACUUCAAUCAUUAUAUGUCCGACUUUCAUAAUAUAUAUAGAUGAAUCCAUUAAGAAUCGAAGACUCUAUUUUUCCAUCUAAAAUAAAUUAGAAAAAAAAAAUAUAGUAGCUACUCUUUGCUAAUUUAAUUUGGCUGCAUCUUUAGCUUUUAAAGUUACCCAUAUAUAUAUACAUAUGGCUGUACUUUUAGGUGGUGAUAUAUCCUAUCAAAAAAUAAAAUGAAAAUUUUGGAACUUUUUAACAUAAAUUUAUUAAAGUAAAAGGAUAAUAAAAGUAACCAAUAACUAUAUUUUCAGAUUCUUCGGAUUAUCAUGCGAAACAUUUUCAGGUACAUAUAUACAUGUUCACAUAUAAGGAUAUCGAUAAGAAAUUAGUAAAUGCUAAAAUUGGUAGCUAAUCUAUUGGUAGUUUAUUUUAUCCACAUAUUUAAUCGUUCAACGUUACAUAUAUAUAUAUGGUUGUCGUUAAUAGGUAUUUUUAGGUGCUGACUUAUUGUAUCAAAAACGAAAAUGAAUAUUUUAAAUAAAAUUUAACAAAAAUAUUUUAGGAUAUAAAGAAAAUAAAACUAACCAAUCAAUUGAAAACAGUUUUUCUGGAUAAUUCUAAAAAUAGUCAUCAAAGACCUAUAUAUAUGUAUAUGUUCAUACGUAAGGUUUCCUAAAAUACACACACAAAGCAUUUUUUUACUGUGAAAGUUUACAAUGUCGGCAUCGAAAUUUGCUAUAUUUUGUAUUGUUCUCAUUUGUCUUGCUAGUCUUCAUGAAUGUAUGUCUAUAUAGCAUAUGUUCCAUCCAAUCCUCUAGCAUCAUUACCAUUAAAUUAAUAUUAAUAUACUCCAUCAUCUUUUAAUUUUGUUUUAUUCUUUAAACUUUCUGCAGGUGCCAACCCGGAAAAAAAGCCCAAAGGAACAUGCUCUAAAACACCAAAGAAUGUUUGGUGUUGCAGUUCCACUACACACUGCCGAAGCACCAAGGCAGAUUGUGAGAAGAUAUGUAUCUGGUAGUAUCUGGGGCCGUUGAAUUUUAUCAAAGAGAAUUUCAAUAAUUAUAUAUUCCACUUAUUUUCAUAAUUCUAUUAUUCAAAAUUUAAAUAAUAAAUAGAAAUUCCUAUUCCACAGGAGCAGCUAGUAUUAUGUACUAAAUGUUUUGGAAUUUCUUUGAAAGAUCAAUAUAUAUAUAUAGUUGUCUUUCUAACUUUCUUCAAUUGUAUUUGAGAAGUUUAUAAAUUUUAUAGAAAAUGAGAAUAAAACCAUUGUACCUGUUUAACUGAAAUUUAAAUGUUGUAUGUACUUUGUAAAUUAAAUAAAAU